GGGUUAUUUUAGCCUCCCAAAUAUCAGUAGUCAGAGAUACUCUUUGCUUGUUUGCUUCAAACCACUUUUUCAUAGCAGCCUUCCUCUGCAAGUACAUCUUUACAAUCUCCCUUGUUGAGGUCCUCCGUGACACAGGUUUGUCUAAUUUCAUCUGCACAGAUAAAAAAAAUUUUAUAUAAAAGAAGUCAAAACUAGUCCAAUAAACUAAAGAAUUAAACAAGUAGAUACCUUGUUACAGAAGUGUUUCCAAGCCACACUUUCUAUCCAACAUAAUGGUAACUCCCCUAUCACCAUCAUCUCAUUCGUUUCUUCUUUGAAAGUUUCUUCACUGACUUUUGCAGACAUCACAUUCCCUUCUUCAGCUAUGACUUGCUGAGUUGAACUUUGGCCAUCUGAAUAUGAGUAGAACUGUUUGCAUAUGCUGAUAUGCUUCAGCAAGUUUGAAGUUCCCGAUUUUUUUUUACAACAAAACUUCUUCUUUCAGUAAUGACAAAUACAUUUGUCACGGUUCUCCUUCGUCCUUGUGUAACGGUUCCAGAUUUUGGACCUUGGAGGAAGAAUCCUGGGAGCUUUAUUCUGACCUUUGUGAUCACUAACAAGUUUGAACCCUAUGAUAAGCUUCUUCAGUCGCCAACACUCAUCAAUGUAAUGCGCAGUCACCACCAUGUAACUUGCCCCUGUGAACAAUAAUAAGCAUGCCAACACGUUAGCUAUAAGCACCCAAAUAUCAGUACAUACUCAUUUAAUUUAAGAUUCAAAAUGCUUACGGGUUAUUUUAGCCUCCCAAAUAUCAGUAGUCAGAGAUACUCUUUGCUUGUUUGCUUCAAACCACUUUUUCAUAGCAGCCUUCCUCUGCAAGUACAUCUUUACAAUCUCCCUUGUUGAGGUCCUCCUUGACACAGGUUUGUCUAAUUUCAUCUGCACAGAUAAAAAAAAAAUUAUAUAAAAGAAAUCAAAACUAGCCCAAUAAACUAAAGAAUUAAACAAGUAGAUAGCUUGUUACAGAAGUGUUUCCAAGCCACACUUUCUACCCAACAUAAUGGUAACUCCCCUAUCACCAUCAUCUCAUUGGUUGCUUCUUUGAAAGUUUCUUCGCUGAUUUUUGUAGACAUCACAUUCCCUUCUUCAUCUAUGACUUGCUGAGUUGAACUUUGGCCAUCUGAAUACGAGUAGAACUGUUUGCAUAUGCUGAUAUGCUUCAGCAAGUUUUUAGUUCCCGAUUUUGUUUUACAACAAAAAUUCUUCUUGCAGUAAUGACAGAUACAUUUGUCACGCUUAUCUUUCGUCCUUGUGUAAUGGUUCCAGAUUUUGGACCUUGGAGGAAGAAUCCUGGGCGCUUUAUUGGCUUCAUUGGCUGUAGGAGAUUCUUUACGUUUGCCUCUAUUAUCUGGAGUAGUCAAUUCUUGUUCUUCUUCGUCCUCUACAUCUUUGUUGUUGUCAAACGAAA
This 1447-nucleotide long non-coding RNA is filed under the name Brassica napus (rape). RNAcentral's name for it is "long non-coding RNA (BNAP_LNC013514)". Lineage: Eukaryota; Viridiplantae; Streptophyta; Magnoliopsida; Brassicales; Brassicaceae. The record is from RNAcentral.